UAAUCACCUGUCUUUUAAAUGAAGACCUGUAUGAAUGGCAUCACGAGAGCUUGACUGUCUCCCCCCCCCGAUCAAUGAAAUUGACCUGUCCGUGCAGAGGCGGACAUAAUAACAUAAGACGAGAAGACCCUAUGGAGCUUUAGGAUAAGGGACAACCACGUGAAGGGGCUAAAUUAAAUACUACAAGAGUAAGCUUUAAACCUAGUGGCCAAUGAUCCAAAUCCUUAGGUUGGGGCGACCGUGGGGCAGAGAGAAGCCCCCACAUGGAAUGAAGACUCCCUAUUUCUUUAAAACUAAGAAAAACGAUUCGAAGCAGCAGAAUAUCUGACCAAAAAUGACCCGGGACAAAUAGCACCUGAUCAUUGAACCAAGUUACCCUAGGGAUAACAGCGCAAUCCCCUCUUAGAGUCCU
RNAcentral lists this ribosomal RNA (412 nucleotides) under Ariosoma meeki. Its description in RNAcentral is "partial 16S ribosomal RNA". It matches the Rfam family "Bacterial large subunit ribosomal RNA", at positions 1962 to 2502 of the family's 2925-position model. Lineage: Eukaryota; Metazoa; Chordata; Actinopteri; Anguilliformes; Congridae. The record is from RNAcentral.